RNAcentral lists this small RNA (1480 nucleotides) under Pan troglodytes (chimpanzee). RNAcentral describes it as "retained intron". Lineage: Eukaryota; Metazoa; Chordata; Mammalia; Primates; Hominidae. The record is from RNAcentral.
AGAGUUGGAGGAAAAAAAAAGGCAGAAAAGGGAAAGAAAGAGGAAGAGAGAGAGAGAGUGAGAGGAGCCGCUGAGCCCACCCCGAUGGCCGCGGACGAAGUUGCCGGAGGGGCGCGCAAAGCCACGAAAAGCAAACUUUUUGAGUUUCUGGUCCAUGGGGUGCGCCCCGGGAUGCCGUCUGGAGCCCGGAUGCCCCACCAGGGGGCGCCCAUGGGCCCCCCGGGCUCCCCGUACAUGGGCAGCCCCGCCGUGCGACCCGGCCUGGCCCCCGCGGGCAUGGAGCCCGCCCGCAAGCGAGCAGCGCCCCCGCCCGGGCAGAGCCAGGCACAGAGCCAGGGCCAGCCGGUGCCCACCGCCCCCGCGCGGAGCCGCAGUGCCAAGAGGAGGAAGAUGGCUGACAAAAUCCUCCCUCAAAGGAUUCGGGAGCUGGUCCCCGAGUCCCAGGCUUACAUGGACCUCUUGGCAUUUGAGAGGAAACUGGAUCAAACCAUCAUGCGGAAGCGAGUGGACAUCCAGGAGGCUCUGAAGAGGCCCAUGAAGCAAAAGCGGAAGCUGCGACUCUAUAUCUCCAACACUUUUAACCCUGCGAAGCCUGAUGCUGAGGAUUCUGACGGCAGCAUUGCCUCCUGGGAGCUACGGGUGGAGGGGAAGCUCCUGGAUGAUCCCAGCAAACAGAAGCGGAAGUUCUCUUCUUUCUUCAAGAGUUUGGUCAUCGAGCUGGACAAAGAUCUUUACGGCCCUGACAACCACCUCGUUGAGUGGCAUCGGACACCCACGACCCAGGAGACGGAUGGCUUCCAGGUGAAACGGCCUGGGGACUUGAGUGUGCGCUGCACGCUGCUCCUCAUGCUGGACUACCAGGUCUGCACCUGCCAUGCUGCCCCAUACACGCCACACAAGGCCCUCAGGGCAGGGCUAGGUCCCAAAGUGGUGCAUCUUGAGAGACCUCCUUCCCCUCCCAAACCUAUCCUUCCCCAGGGGCAUGUUUCCUCAAUCAACACAUCCCCCUAGUCCUGAAUGGCCUGGCCCUGGGCUCCUUCCUUUCUCUCCCUUUGGUCUAACUUUCACAGUCCCCUUUUCCCAGCCUCCCCAGUUCAAACUGGAUCCCCGCCUAGCCCGGCUGCUGGGGCUGCACACACAGAGCCGCUCAGCCAUCGUCCAGGCCCUGUGGCAGUAUGUGAAGACCAACAGGCUGCAGGACUCCCAUGACAAGGAAUACAUCAAUGGGGACAAGUAUUUCCAGCAGGUAACCUCUCUCCUGAACCCUGGGAUCUGGGGAGCAGGCGGAGUUCUCCAGCAGGGGAAGUACCUCUACCAAGGUAACUACCACCCCUCCCUUCUAGAUUCCUGAGUAGCAGAAGCAGUACACAGUCAUGGUCUUGGAGCCAAGAGACCGACCAGGAUUCUAGUUCAGGCCCUACUGUGGAUUAGCUCUGUGCUGCAGCCAAUCCAUGUUAGCCCCCCCAAGUUAGGAAGACCU